AUGAACGCUGGCGGCGUGCCUAAUACCUGCAAGUCGAGCGCACGGACGAGAAGCUUGCUUUUCUGAUGUUAGCGGCGGACGGGUGAGUAACACGUGGAUAACCUACCUAUAAGACUGGGAUAACUUCGGGAAACCGGAGCUAAUACCGGAUAAUAUUUUGAACCGCAUGGUUCAAAAGUGAAAGACGGUCUUGCUGUCACUUAUAGAUGGAUCCGCGCUGCAUUAGCUAGUUGGUAAGGUAACGGCUUACCAAGGCAACGAUGCAUAGCCGACCUGAGAGGGUGAUCGGCCACACUGGAACUGAGACACGGUCCAGACUCCUACGGGAGGCAGCAGUAGGGAAUCUUCCGCAAUGGGCGAAAGCCUGACGGAGCAACGCCGCGUGAGUGAUGAAGGUCCUCGGAUCGUAAAACUCUGUUAUUAGGGAAGAACAUAUGUGUAAGUAACUGUGCACAUCUUGACGGUACCUAAUCAGAAAGCCACGGCUAACUACGUG
Molecule: ribosomal RNA, 496 nt
Filed under: uncultured bacterium
Lineage: Bacteria
Description: partial 16S ribosomal RNA
Rfam family: Bacterial small subunit ribosomal RNA
Source: RNAcentral